GGGCGAAUAGCUCAAUGGUAGAGCGGUUGUCUUAUACACAACUGGUUUCAGGUUCAAGUCCUGAUUCGCCCA
Molecule: transfer RNA, 72 nt
Filed under: Candidatus Daviesbacteria bacterium
Lineage: Bacteria; Candidatus Daviesiibacteriota
Description: tRNA-Ile
Rfam family: tRNA
About the family: Transfer RNA (tRNA) molecules are approximately 80 nucleotides in length. Their secondary structure includes four short double-helical elements and three loops (D, anti-codon, and T loops). Further hydrogen bonds mediate the characteristic L-shaped molecular structure. tRNAs have two regions of fundamental functional importance: the anti-codon, which is responsible for specific mRNA codon recognition, and the 3' end, to which the tRNAs corresponding amino acid is attached (by aminoacyl-tRNA synthetases). tRNAs cope with the degeneracy of the genetic code in two manners: having more than one tRNA (with a specific anti-codon) for a particular amino acid; and 'wobble' base-pairing, i.e. permitting non-standard base-pairing at the 3rd anti-codon position.
Source: RNAcentral